Molecule: non-coding RNA, 3375 nt
Organism: Pelodiscus sinensis (Chinese soft-shelled turtle)
Lineage: Eukaryota; Metazoa; Chordata; Testudines; Trionychidae
Source: RefSeq, a predicted model, not a curated record
UAUGCUGGGUUCGCUCUGUCACCCGGCUCCUUUCCUCCUCGGAGGCGGGAUGAUAAUGGGUUCUGCUUCCGGGUUACUCCCCCGGCAGCUUCCGGUUGCUGGGUUGCGCGAGCGGCCGCGGGUGGGAUGGAGCGGGACCUGCUGCGCCAGGCGCUGGGUUUCCAUGGGCCCCCGCUGCUCGCCUUGCUGCGAACCGAGCAGAACGACAACCCCGACUUCCGGGGCCUCCUGCCCCCCGGGGGACCCAGCCUGGAGCUGCCCGCCAGGAAAGAGAAGCGAAUUGAUAACAUUGAGAUACAACACUUCAUUGCAAAAAAAGCUGAUCUCCUUUUUGCUCUUUCGUGGAAACCAAAUACAUCAACAGGUUCAGAAUCAAAUGAAGAGAAUGAAGAUUGUUAUGCUGUUAUGCCACCUUUGGAGCAGUUCAUGGAGGUGCCAAGUGAGGACAGGAGAGAGCUGUUUUUCCGAGACAUUGAGCGUGGAGAUAUCGUGAUUGGAAGGAUUAGUUCUAUUCGUGAAUUUGGCUUUUUCAUGGUGUUGAUCUGUCUGGGCAGCGGCGUUCUAAGAGAGAUCUCCCAUUUAGAAAUCACUGCUCUUUGUCCUUUGAGAGAUGUGCCUUCUCAUAGCAGCCAUGGUGAUCCUUUAUCAUAUUAUCAAACUGGCGACAUUAUACAAGCUGCAAUCAAGGACAUUGAUCGUUACCAUGAAAAGCUCACAGUAUCAUUACACAGCUCUGCUCUUCCACCCAGUCUUUCUAGCACUAAACUGGGGGUAAUUAGUUCUGAAGACUUGCCUUUACAUUAUAGGAGAAGUGUUGAAGUAGCCAAUACUGCGGAGACAUAUGAAAAAGUCUUACAUCAUUCUUUGGGAUUUGCUAAUCCAGGAGUAGUUGAAUUUUUAUUAGGAAAACUAGGACUAAGUGAAUCCAACCCACCAUCAUUAAUGAGAGGCCUGCAAAGUAAAAACUUCAAUGAAGAAGACUUUGCCUUUGCAUUGAGGAAGAAGCAGUCUGCAUCUUGGGCCUUGAAAUGUGUGAAGAUUGGAGUUGAUUAUUUUAAAGUUGGCCGCCAUGUGGAAGCAAUGAAUGAAUAUAACAGGGCACUGGAAAUAGAUGCACAAAAUGUUGAAGCCUUGGUAGCUCGUGGGGCACUUUAUGCAACAAAAGGAAGCUUAAACAAAGCCAUAGAUGAUUUUGAAGUUGCAUUAGAAAACUGUCCAACCCAUAGAAAUGCACGGAAAUAUCUCUGUCAGACUCUUGUGGAAAGAGGAGGCCAGUUGGAAGAGGAAGACAAACUAUUAAAUGCUCAGAAUUAUUAUAAGAAAGCUUUAAGUUUGGAUGAAACUUUUAAAGAAGCAGAGGAUGCAUUACUGAAACUCCGUAAACAUAUGCAGGUGAUUCUUUACUUUCUCUUACUACUAAAAUCAAAACUCUUAUAUAAACACUGGGAAGGGGGAAAUUAUUUACUGGUUACUGUGUUUUUCUUCUCCUCUUUCCCCUCUUUACAACACAUCUGUCACAGUAAGUAUUAUGGCUGCAUCUACAAAAAGCAAAGGUGGCUGUAGAUGGUUUGAUCAUUUCAGAUGGGUGGGGGAAGCAAUAGCCCCUGCAGCUGGAUGCAGGGAAAGACCAGAACUCAGUAAUUGUCUGCUGGAGAGGAGAGAACAGCCUGUUCGCACUUGAGCUGGAUUGCUGCUAUAGAUUUAAGACUUUCUGUAGGGUAAAUCCCUAAAUAGAAAAGUCAGUGUUAGAUUAUAUACCAGGGUUGUAAUUGGGAAUAAUCAGAGAGGAACAGGGUAAAACUGAUGAAACCUAACUCAGAAGGAAGACUUGGUGUAUCUCCACUUGGCACAAGAAGGGUCUUAAUUUAAAGGCCCAAAGACAGCUGAGGAUAUAAUGUCACUGAAAUGAGCAGUUAUGGUCAGUUAAUUCAAAAUUCUGCCAAACUUCUUGAGAUGCAAAUUAAUAAGCAGUUAUUUAAAAUGCAGAAAAAAAUAACAAUUCAUCAGGGUCCCAGCAUUGGAGGAAAUAAGGGGAAAAGCAAGUUCCCGGGUCCCUUUUUUGUUUUUCUCCCCUGCACGCAACAUUUCCUUGGUCAGCACCUAUGAGUUACCAUGCCAAGCUCCUUUGUCUGCUGCUUGUCUUUCUGUGGCUUUUUCAUUCAUCUCCUUUACUUACUUUGUCUUCCAGAUAGAAUCAAAAAGAGUGAAUUCAAGUUAGAGAACUGGGGCACAGGGUUGCUGUACUCAAUGCUUCUGUGCUGAAGGAAGUAAAUAGACUGGGGUAGAAGUGUGGUUCCUUUAUGCAGGGUUUGAUUGACACUGCUUUAGCAGGUGGGUGGAGCCAUAAUGUGAAAAGGUUUUGUUGAAGGAUGGGGAAGAGGAGAUCUAUGGUAACCUUUAUUAAAGCGAAAUUAUACUGCAGAAAUAUCUACUUAACAGUAUGCGGGCACUUCCAAUGUAUUUGGUAUUCUACAGACAAAAGUAUUGUUGCUGUAACAAGGAGUCUUCUAAUGAAAGUAAUAAAUUAAAGUGAUUAAACAUGUUCCAACUGAGUGAAGGAAAUGGUUUAACUCUCACUCCAAGUUAUAGUGAUGGUGAUGAGGGUCACUCAUGCAACUGAGGAAUAUAAGACUUGUUGUUCAGCAGUUUAUGUAAGUUUUCCCACAAUAAAUUAAGGGUUUCCCUUGUCCCAAGGCAGUACCUGUGACAUGACUAUUGCCAAGCCUCAAGAACUGGUAUCCAGAGACAUGCUGCUCAUCCUAGAUAUGUAUUCCAACUGUUUCAAAACAUUUCAAGCAUUAUUACAUUAAAACACAUCAGGGAGCUUUUAGUGCACAUUAGCAGGAUCUACUUGGACCAAUUAGCACAUUAGUGUGUGUUAGAAAUUGUCCCCCCCAUUCCAUAUUGCUUCACUAUAAAAACAAUGCCAAGCCCUUAAAGAGCUAUGGGACACAAGAGUCUACCCAGCUGAUGGACUUAGCUAGCAUGCCUUUAAUCAUUAAUUGUUUAGUAACUGAAGGCUCCUUUAUUUCUGAGUAAACCUUGGUUUAUAUGGCAACUAAAAACAGACUACUAGAAUGAUACAAUUUACAGUUCAGAUAUGAAAUAUUCUUUUCCUGUAAUACUGAUGAUAUGUUUUUCUUCAAUGCAUUUCCUUCUGAACGGGACCGUUGCUGCUGACAUCUGGCGCUGCUCAUCAACAACCCACUGGAACAUGAUUUCUUAUGUAAACAUGCAUCAAACUGGGCUGUGGUAUAAUUACUAAAUGAAAUCUUUGGAAAUGAGGGAGAAACAAGCUGCAAAAGAGAGACAGAAGGAAAAGAAAAUAGAAACAAGUGCACAAAAACUGCGUAAGCUCUUAAAAGAAGAAAAAAG